RNAcentral lists this ribosomal RNA (240 nucleotides) under uncultured Actinomycetales bacterium. RNAcentral's name for it is "partial 16S ribosomal RNA". It matches the Rfam family "Bacterial small subunit ribosomal RNA", at positions 90 to 334 of the family's 1533-position model. Lineage: Bacteria; Bacillati; Actinomycetota; Actinomycetes; Actinomycetales. The record is from RNAcentral.
CUCGAGUGGCGAACGGGUGAGUAACACGUGGGUGAUCUGCCCUGCACUUCGGGAUAAGCCUGGGAAACUGGGUCUAAUACCGGAUAGGAGCCAUUUUUAGUGUGAUGGUUGGAAAGUUUUUCGGUGUAGGAUGAGCUCGCGGCCUAUCAGCUUGUUGGUGGGGUAAUGGCCUACCAAGGCGGCGACGGGUAGCCGGCCUGAGAGGGUGGACGGCCACAUUGGGACUGAGAUACGGCCCAG